CUUUGUAUUCUUCCACAGCUUUCUUGAACUGCAGCAUUUAAAAGGUUUCUUUGCAUGCAGGCCAUGGCAUCUUGCUCCCAUACCUUGUUUUGCGGUUCAAUAAAGCUGUGGGAAAAUACAGAUA
Molecule: non-coding RNA, 124 nt
Organism: Lupinus albus (white lupine)
Lineage: Eukaryota; Viridiplantae; Streptophyta; Magnoliopsida; Fabales; Fabaceae
Source: the annotation of a GenBank genome assembly